CACACACACACCUCCGCCCGAGGUGGGCGGGGAGGGAGAAAAACGAAUGGGGCGCGUGCAUAGAAGGGGGCGGGGACUAAGGCUAAACAUACUCAGCUCCUUCAACCGUUCCUCAUAAGGCUUGUUUUCCAAGCUUGUCUUUACGUUAUUGAGCAUGCCCUCUUCAAAAUUACCAAGACAACAGUUCAGCAAUU
Long non-coding RNA from Lacerta agilis (Sand lizard), 194 nucleotides. RefSeq lists it as uncharacterized. The transcript has 2 exons. NCBI's taxonomy places the organism in Eukaryota, Metazoa, Chordata, Lepidosauria, Squamata, Lacertidae. The record is from RefSeq and is a predicted model, not a curated record.